AAUAAGCGUCAGAAGAAAAGCUCAAGUAGUCCUACAGGAGAGACUUAAAUGCAUUUUAUAAUUCAAAACAAAUACAUAUUCAUUAUCAUAUGUAUUCUAUGGGAAUUAUAGAAAAAAACCUUUAAUUAUGACAAGGGUACCAGCAGGGAAUCCAGAAGAACAUAACUCUAAGAGUCAUCCCACAAGAUGGAGAAGAUACAUCUUUUGUCUAUAACAGGUGGGCCAAUUCCAAGCAGCAGAUGGUGCAUUUCGUUUAUGACAGUUCUCCUGUGGAUCCUGUGGGACAGUGUUGUUCUUCGAAUGUUUCUAUAGCAUCACCAGCAACUCCGUGGGCCUGCCAAUUAACAAUGCUGUUGCAAAAAAUCAUCAAUGAUUCAAAUCAAGCACAAUGGCAGUACAUAGGACAUGGGAAUAUUCAGUGGUACAUUUCUAUACAUAUGACUUACCAAGUCAAGAAUAGUACCAUGAUAGUGAUGGUGGUAAUGACAUAAGGGUUAAUCAGAGAAGGAGGACUGAUCUGAGCCCACCAAACCAGGAAAUUAUUUAAGAAUCUUUUAUGACAAUACAGUUAAAUAGCAAGAAAAGGAUUUUAUUAAACCAGUCAUUUAUUUUUCUCUGUGAGUUUGAAGAGUUGCAGAAAAUGUGAAUUCAUAUUUCUGAAAAUCUGUAGAAAAAGGUACCUCCUCAGUGAACAUCCUUCAGUAUUGUGGAGCCCUCUACUGGGAAGCUCUGUGUAUCAAACUCAGGAAAAAAGUUUUGUUUUCGAAGAUCCACCAAGUUUCAGCUUUUGUACUGGCUGAUCUUGAACUCCUGGCUUCAAGUGAUCCUCCCGCUUUGGCCUCCCAAAGUGUUGAGAUUACAGGGGUGAGCCACCACACCCAGCUUAUAAAUUAUUGAAAAAUGCAAAAUAAUCCUCAGUUGCCAU
Long non-coding RNA from Pongo pygmaeus (Bornean orangutan), 925 nucleotides. RefSeq lists it as uncharacterized. The record is from RefSeq and is a predicted model, not a curated record. Lineage: Eukaryota; Metazoa; Chordata; Mammalia; Primates; Hominidae. The transcript is spliced from 7 exons.